RNAcentral lists this ribosomal RNA (501 nucleotides) under uncultured bacterium. Its description in RNAcentral is "partial 16S ribosomal RNA". It matches the Rfam family "Bacterial small subunit ribosomal RNA", at positions 29 to 523 of the family's 1533-position model. The record is from RNAcentral.
AUUGAACGCUGGCGGCAUGCCUUACACAUGCAAGUCGAACGGCAGCACGGGUGCUUGCACCUGGUGGCGAGUGGCGAACGGGUGAGUAAUACAUCGGAACGUACCUUAUCGUGGGGGAUAACGCAGCGAAAGCUGUGCUAAUACCGCAUACGCCCUGAGGGGGAAAGCGGGGGAUCGAAAGACCUCGCGCGAUUAGAGCGGCCGAUGCCUGAUUAGCUCGUUGGUGGGGUAAAAGCCCACCAAGGCGACGAUCAGUAGCUGGUCUGAGAGGACGAUCAGCCACACUGGGAAUGAGACACGGCCCAGACGCCUACGGGAGGCAGCAGUGGGGAAUUUUGGACAAUGGGGGCAACCCUGAUCCAGCAAUGCCGCGUGAGUGAAGAAGGCCUUCGGGUUGUAAGGCUCUUUUGUCAGGGAAGAAACACCGGCUCUAACACAGUCCGGGAAUGACGGUACCUGAAGAAUAAGCACCGGCUAACUACGUGCCAGCCGCCGCCGUAA